UUCUCUUUCGUGUCAUCAUAUGCAAAUGCCACAUUUAAGCCUUGUUGCCAAUGGUUCAAGCUCCAUCAAAUGAAAUUAAGACCCAACUCUUUUCUUUCACUCACAAGCCUUUUCACCAUUCCUCUGUUUCUCUCUCCUUUGUUUUCGUCAAUCUAUUUCUGCAAUUUUCUCCAGCAUGCAAUCCAAAUUUGCUCCUUGUUUCUGCAUCAAAGUUUCAGAUCUCUUCGAGUUAUUGAAUUUAGGCACAAAAUCGUCCAAUUCGGAGUUCGGAGUUCGGAGUUGUGAGUUAUGGCCUUUGCAAGUUUGGUCUUGUUGCUGCCAUUUUCUUUCGAGGUUCUGCGAUUGUUGCUGCAGCUUCGUGGUUGCUGCUGCCGUUGUUGUGUUGUCGUUGUUGUUGAGUUGCUCAGUUUUGAAUUCCUUUGGCAAGGUAUAAAUUUGGGUUUAAGUUGUUAUUUUUUUAUCAAAUAUAAUCUGAUUUUUAUGUUAUUAAUUGUUAAUGAUCUUCACAAGUAAAUUUGAACUUUUAUUGAUUUGUAAAAUCAGUUUUGGUUGCAAGAUAUAAUCUGUGAAGCUUAACCCUUUUCAUUUACCUGUAAAACCUAAAGUUCAGUUUGUUAUAAGAGUUGUUAAGGUGAAAGGUUGAAUCUUUCUUCUUAUUUUAACACAUUAGGAUAUAUUUUGAAGCUCUAUAAUGCAAGUUUAGAUUUCUCCAAAGUUAGUUACUAAAACAUAUUUUUGUAAGUAAACUUAUUUAUAAAUUUGAUUGGAGUUAUGAUUUCACAUCUCCGAAUCAGUGUAGUAAUUUCCAAAAUAAGGUUAAUUAGAGUUAGUAUGUGAGAUUGAUAAUGUGAGUUAGGUUGUGGAAUGUUAGUUCGCAUAUAGAGUAAAAGUAAGUUAGUUUCUUUAUUUUAAUUGUAGUGAGAAUGAAUAAUAAUUGUUGUUAUUGUUUGGAGGUCAUUGUUAUGAUUGUUAAUUAUGCUAUUAUUAUUGAGGUGAUUAUUGUGGAGUUCAAGAUGGACUUGGAGAUCGAGUUUUGAUGCUUGGAGGUUUCGUAUAAUUGUUCUUGAGUUGAGGUUCGUGUUGGAAGCUCGAAAUGGAUCAAAAGGGAAGAGUUUAGUUGUUGUUGUAAUUUGAUUAAUGAUUCUCAUGUUGUAGCUAGAAGCAUUCAAAUAUUUAUUAGAUUAUAAGAUAUUCUUUGUUUGGGAAUCGAGUAAAGUAUUUUUUUAGUAUGA
Molecule: long non-coding RNA, 1232 nt
Organism: Beta vulgaris subsp. vulgaris (sugar beet)
Lineage: Eukaryota; Viridiplantae; Streptophyta; Magnoliopsida; Caryophyllales; Amaranthaceae
Exons: 2
Source: RefSeq, a predicted model, not a curated record